Molecule: ribosomal RNA, 465 nt
Filed under: Vreelandella stevensii
Lineage: Bacteria; Pseudomonadati; Pseudomonadota; Gammaproteobacteria; Oceanospirillales; Halomonadaceae
Description: partial 16S ribosomal RNA
Rfam family: Bacterial small subunit ribosomal RNA
Source: RNAcentral
CCUACGGGUGGCAGCAGUGGGGAAUAUUGGACAAUGGGCGAAAGCCUGAUCCAGCCAUGCCGCGUGUGUGAAGAAGGCCUUCGGGUUGUAAAGCACUUUCAGUGGGGAAGAAAGCCUUGGGGCUAAUACCCUCGAGGAAGGACAUCACCCACAGAAGAAGCACCGGCUAACUCCGUGCCAGCAGCCGCGGUAAUACGGAGGGUGCGAGCGUUAAUCGGAAUUACUGGGCGUAAAGCGCGCGUAGGCGGUCUGAUAAGCCGGUUGUGAAAGCCCCGGGCUCAACCUGGGAACGGCAUCCGGAACUGUCAGGCUAGAGUGCAGGAGAGGAAGGUAGAAUUCCCGGUGUAGCGGUGAAAUGCGUAGAGAUCGGGAGGAAUACCAGUGGCGAAGGCGGCCUUCUGGACUGACACUGACGCUGAGGUGCGAAAGCGUGGGUAGCAAACAGGAUUAGAGACCCUAGUAGUC